This 586-nucleotide ribosomal RNA is filed under the name uncultured bacterium. Its description in RNAcentral is "partial 16S ribosomal RNA". It matches the Rfam family "Bacterial small subunit ribosomal RNA", at positions 355 to 937 of the family's 1533-position model. The record is from RNAcentral.
UGGGGAAUAUUGGACAAUGGGCGCAAGCCUGAUCCAGCCAUACCGCGUGGGUGAAGAAGGCCUUCGGGUUGUAAAGCCCUUUUGUUGGGAAAGAAAUCCAGCUGGCUAAUACCCGGUUGGGAUGACGGUACCCAAAGAAUAAGCACCGGCUAACUUCGUGCCAGCAGCCGCGGUAAUACGAAGGGUGCAAGCGUUACUCGGAAUUACUGGGCGUAAAGCGUGCGUAGGUGGUCGUUUAAGUCCGUUGUGAAAGCCCUGGGCUCAACCUGGGAACUGCAGUGGAUACUGGGCGACUAGAGUGUGGUAGAGGGUAGCGGAAUUCCUGGUGUAGCAGUGAAAUGCGUAGAGAUCAGGAGGAACAUCCAUGGCGAAGGCAGCUACCUGGACCAACACUGACACUGAGGCACGAAAGCGUGGGGAGCAAACAGGAUUAGAUACCCUGGUAGUCCACGCCCUAAACGAUGCGAACUGGAUGUUGGGUGCAAUUUGGCACGCAGUAUCGAAGCUAACGCGUUAAGUUCGCCGCCUGGGGAGUACGGUCGCAAGACUGAAGCUUAAAUGAAUUGACGGGGUCAUAGCUGUUUCC